RNAcentral lists this ribosomal RNA (468 nucleotides) under uncultured bacterium. RNAcentral's name for it is "partial 16S ribosomal RNA". It matches the Rfam family "Bacterial small subunit ribosomal RNA", at positions 28 to 507 of the family's 1533-position model. The record is from RNAcentral.
GACGAACGCUGGCGGCGUGCUUAACACAUGCAAGUCGAACGGAAAGGCCCUGCUUCUGUGGGGUGCUCGAGUGGCGAACGGGUGAGUAACACGUGAGUAACCUGCCCUUGACUUUGGGAUAACUUCAGGAAACUGGGGCUAAUACCGGAUAGGAGCUCCUGCUGCAUGGUGGGGGUUGGAAAGUUUCGGCGGUUGGGGAUGGACUCGCGGCCUAUCAGCUUGUUGGUGGGGUAGUGGCUUACCAAGGCUUUGACGGGUAGCCGGCCUGGGAGGGUGACCGGCCACAUUGGGACUGAGAUACGGCCGAGACUCCUACGGGCGGCAGCAGUGGGGAAGGUAGCACCCUGGGCGGGAGCCUGACGCAGGAACGCCGCGGGGGGGAUGUAGGCCGCCGGGUUGUAGACCGCUUUUGUCUGUGACGAAGCGUGAGUGACGGUAACGGGUAAAGAAGCACCGGCUAACUACGUG